GAUGAACGCUAGCGGCAGGCUUAACACAUGCAAGUCGAGGGGCAGCACGGGUAGCAAUACCUGGUGGCGACCGGCGGAAGGGUGCGUAACGCGUGAGCAACAUACCCUAUACAGGGGAAUAAGCCAGGGAAACUUGGUCUAAUGCCCCAUAGCAAUAGAAUAAGGCAUCUUAUUUUAUUUAAAGCUUCGGUGGUAUAGGAUUGGCUCGCGUGACAUUAGCUGGAUGGUGAGGUAACGGCUCACCAUGGCGAUGAUGUCUAGGGGUUCUGAGAGGAAGGCCCCCCACACUGGGACUGAGACACGGCCCAGACUCCUACGGGAGGCAGCAGUGAGGAAUAUUGGACAAUGGAUGGAAAUCUGAUCCAGCCAUGCCGCGUGCAGGAAGACGGCCCUAUGGGUUGUAAACUGCUUUUCUACGUGAGCAAUAAGGUCUACGAGUAGACUGAUGAGAGUAGCGUAGGAAUAAGCAUCGGCUAACUCCGUGCCAGCAGCCGCGGUAAUACGGAGGAUGCGAGCGUUAUCCGGAUUUAUUGGGUUUAAAGGGUGCGUAGGCGGCUUUUUAAGUCAGCGGUGAAAUUUUGCAGCUUAACUGUAACAGUGCCGUUGAUACUGAGGAGCUAGGAUUUGGUUGCUGUGGGUGGAAUGUGUGGUGUAGCGGUGAAAUGCUUAGAGAUCACACAGAAUAUCGAUUGCGAAGGCAGCUCACAAAGCCAAGAUUGACGCUGAGGCACGAAAGUGUGGGGGAUCAAACAGGAUUAGAUACCCUGGUAGUCCACACUGUAAACGAUGAUAACUCGCUGUCGGCGAUACACAGUCGGUGGCCAAGCGAAAGCGAUAAGUUAUCCACCUGGGGAGUACGACCGCAAGGUUGAAACUCAAAGGACUGACGGGGGCCCGCACAAGCGGAGGACAUGUGGUUUAAUUCGAUGAUACGCGAGGAACCUUACCCG
RNAcentral lists this ribosomal RNA (950 nucleotides) under uncultured bacterium. Its description in RNAcentral is "bacterial SSU rRNA". It matches the Rfam family "Bacterial small subunit ribosomal RNA", at positions 28 to 977 of the family's 1533-position model. The record is from RNAcentral.